RNAcentral lists this ribosomal RNA (529 nucleotides) under uncultured bacterium. Its description in RNAcentral is "bacterial SSU rRNA". It matches the Rfam family "Bacterial small subunit ribosomal RNA", at positions 395 to 917 of the family's 1533-position model. The record is from RNAcentral.
UGCCGCGUGUCUGAAGAAGGCCUUCGGGUUGUAAAGGACUUUGUCAGGGAGCAAAACUUACUGGUUAAUACCUGGUGAGGUUGAGAGUACCUGAAGAAUAAGCACCGGCUAACUACGUGCCAGCAGCCGCGGUAAUACGUAGGGUGCAAGCGUUAAUCGGAAUUACUGGGCGUAAAGCGUGCGCAGGCGGACUUUUAAGCCAGAUGUGAAAGCCCCGAGCUUAACUUGGGAAUUGCGUUUGGAACUGGGAGUCUAGAGUCUGUCAGAGGGGGAUGGAAUUCCACGUGUAGCAGUGAAAUGCGUAGAGAUGUGGAGGAACACCGAUGGCGAAGGCAGUCCCCUGGGAUAAGACUGACGCUCAUGCACGAAAGCGUGGGGAGCAAACAGGAUUAGAUACCCUGGUAGUCCACGCCCUAAACGAUGUCUACUAGUUGUUGGGGUAGCAAUACCUCAGUGACGCAGCUAACGCGUGAAGUAGACCGCCUGGGGAGUACGGUCGCAAGAUUUAAAACUCAAAGGAAUUGACGGG